Non-coding RNA from Triticum aestivum (bread wheat), 135 nucleotides. NCBI's taxonomy places the organism in Eukaryota, Viridiplantae, Streptophyta, Magnoliopsida, Poales, Poaceae. The record is from Rfam.
UUUGUACUUCCUCCAUCCCUAGAUUCUUGUCUUAGAUUUGUUUAGAUACAGAUGUAUCUAAUACUAAAACGUGACUUGAUACAUCCGUAUUUAGACAAAUGUAAGACAAGAAUUUUGGGACGGAGGGAGUAGAUA